CUCAGUAAAAGGCGAAAUGCGUUUCUCUGUAGCGUCGCGAGGGGAGAACGGAGUUGGCCUUAAAUAUAAUACUCCAUGGAAACAUUAGAAUGGAUCGGCUUGUCUCCUGCAAGAGCACCCACACCUACCCGCUAUCUCAGCCAGCCAACAGAACUUCCAUCUCAACUAGUGAGGCAGGAUGUCUGGAGGAAAAUGGAAGAUUUAGCCUGGCGCUGUCUAACUGUUGCUGAUGCUGCCUGCUAUCCCGGCCACCGAGGACUCUGUGUUUAUUCUGCCUGGAGGAAGCUUUGGAAAGAAUCUCAAACAGCCCUGAAUUUAGUUUGCAGCCAACCCACUGGAAAAAGAAACAAAUGAAUAAAAUGCAUUGAUAACUGGCA
This is a long non-coding RNA of Lacerta agilis (Sand lizard), 377 nucleotides long. RefSeq lists it as uncharacterized. Lineage: Eukaryota; Metazoa; Chordata; Lepidosauria; Squamata; Lacertidae. The record is from RefSeq and is a predicted model, not a curated record. The transcript has 2 exons.